UGUCAAAUUAAAAGCAUUUGAAUGAUUGUAAAUGAUGUGAAAACAUGUUUUAAAAACCUGGAAAGGGUAGUCAUGUGCACUGUCCAAUUUGCAUUAAGAAAUGAGCAAAAGUAAAUAAUUAGCUGUGUCCUGCUCUUUAGGUCAUGUUGAACAGCAUAAAGAUUAAAGUUGUUGCAUAAAGAUUAAGUGCUUUAAUUAACUACAGCUGAAAUCACUGAUACUCUGUAAAAUUCAGGCUGGUUUUAAGUAUAUGUAACUAUUAACAGCAUUUCAAAAACUGAAAAUGACCUAUCAAAAUUCAAUUCCACAUCACAUCUUAGUGACAUUAAACAAAUAAAAAUGAUGAUUCAUAUUUCACUCUUUUCAAACUCAUGUUUGUUCACAGCUCAAACAUUUUGGGACUAAAAGUGAGAUCUAAAAGUACAGUGCACACAUCGUACUACAGGUGUAAUUGAAGAAACAUUUAUCUGUGUGUCUGUCUGUUCCAUUAAGUCCCCAAGGUUCUAAUUUUCACCAAACUUUCUGGCUGCAUGUAGACUGACCUCUGAAUUACCCAUAAAGGGCUUGUUUUGGCAAAGGUCAACGUCUCUGAGGUCAAAAUAAUGGUUUAUCUGUCUGUUUGUUCCCCUAAUCCUCCCAGGUCUGAAUUCCAACAAACUUGUGUAGUUGACAGUUAACCCAAGAAUUGCCCUGAAUGGGUUUACUUUGGAAAAGGUUAAAGUCACUGGGGCCAAAUUUGCCACAGAUAUGGAGCUGGAUUUUACAGUUGCCCAAGCAAGGUCAAAUUUGCCAAAGAUCAGCAAAUGGGAUCAAGGUCAUAGGGGUCAAUGGUCUAAAUUAUGAUCCCCCCCCACUCCACUUGGCACCAAAAUAGGCACACAUAUACGAGGUCUAUUAGAUAAUAAACCGACCCUUUUAUUUUUUUUUUAACUAUAUGGAUUUGAAUGACGUGCGAUUACACCAAUCAUGCUUGAACCCUCGUGCGCAUG
Molecule: long non-coding RNA, 989 nt
Organism: Thalassophryne amazonica
Lineage: Eukaryota; Metazoa; Chordata; Actinopteri; Batrachoidiformes; Batrachoididae
Exons: 4
Source: RefSeq, a predicted model, not a curated record